GACGAACGCUGGCGGCGUGCCUAAUACAUGCAAGUCGAGCGAAGUUUUUCUGGUGCUUGCACUAGAAAAACUUAGCGGCGAACGGGUGAGUAACACGUAAAGAACCUGCCUCAUAGACUGGGACAACUAUUGGAAACGAUAGCUAAUACCGGAUGACAGUAUUUCUCGCAUGAGAUAUAUUUAAAAGUUGGUUAUGCUAACACUAUGAGAUGGCUUUGCGGUGCAUUAGCUAGUUGGUGGGGUAAAGGCCCACCAAGGCGACGAUGCAUAGCCGAACUGAGAGGGUGAUCGGCCACACUGGGACUGAGACACGGCCCAGACUCCUACGGGAGGCAGCAGUAGGGAAUCUUGCGCAAUGGGCGAAAGCCUGACGGAGCAACGCCGCGUGAGUGAAGAAGGAUUUCGGUUCGUAAAGCUCUGUUGUUAGGGAAGAAUGGAUAUGUAGUAACUCUACACGUAAGAGACGGUACCUAAACAGAAAGCCACGGCUAACUACGUG
Molecule: ribosomal RNA, 499 nt
Filed under: uncultured bacterium
Lineage: Bacteria
Description: partial 16S ribosomal RNA
Rfam family: Bacterial small subunit ribosomal RNA
Source: RNAcentral